RNAcentral lists this ribosomal RNA (974 nucleotides) under Vreelandella aquamarina. RNAcentral describes it as "bacterial SSU rRNA". It matches the Rfam family "Bacterial small subunit ribosomal RNA", at positions 387 to 1353 of the family's 1533-position model. Lineage: Bacteria; Pseudomonadati; Pseudomonadota; Gammaproteobacteria; Oceanospirillales; Halomonadaceae. The record is from RNAcentral.
UCCAGCCAUGCCGCGUGUGUGAAGAAGGCCCUCGGGUUGUAAAGCACUUUCAGCGAGGAAGAACGCCUAACGGUUAAUACCCGCUAGGAAAGACAUCACUCGCAGAAGAAGCACCGGCUAACUCCGUGCCAGCAGCCGCGGUAAUACGGAGGGUGCAAGCGUUAAUCGGAAUUACUGGGCGUAAAGCGCGCGUAGGUGGCUUGAUAAGCCGGUUGUGAAAGCCCCGGGCUCAACCUGGGAACGGCAUCCGGAACUGUCAAGCUAGAGUGCAGGAGAGGAAGGUAGAAUUCCCGGUGUAGCGGUGAAAUGCGUAGAGAUCGGGAGGAAUACCAGUGGCGAAGGCGGCCUUCUGGACUGACACUGACACUGAGGUGCGAAAGCGUGGGUAGCAAACAGGAUUAGAUACCCUGGUAGUCCACGCCGUAAACGAUGUCGACCAGCCGUUGGGUGCCUAGCGCACUUUGUGGCGAAGUUAACGCGAUAAGUCGACCGCCUGGGGAGUACGGCCGCAAGGUUAAAACUCAAAUGAAUUGACGGGGGCCCGCACAAGCGGUGGAGCAUGUGGUUUAAUUCGAUGCAACGCGAAGAACCUUACCUACUCUUGACAUCCUGCGAAUUUGGUAGAGAUACCUUAGUGCCUUCGGGAACGCAGAGACAGGUGCUGCAUGGCUGUCGUCAGCUCGUGUUGUGAAAUGUUGGGUUAAGUCCCGUAACGAGCGCAACCCUUGUCCUUAUUUGCCAGCGCGUAAUGGCGGGAACUCUAAGGAGACUGCCGGUGACAAACCGGAGGAAGGUGGGGACGACGUCAAGUCAUCAUGGCCCUUACGAGUAGGGCUACACACGUGCUACAAUGGUCGGUACAAAGGGUUGCCAACUCGCGAGAGUGAGCCAAUCCCGAAAAGCCGAUCUCAGUCCGGAUCGGAGUCUGCAACUCGACUCCGUGAAGUCGGAAUCGCUAGUAAUCGUGGAUCAGA